UCUCUCUCUCUCUCUCUAACACCACCACACAUCUCCUCCUUUCUUCUUCUCCAUGCAAACCGACGCUUCAUCGAGGAGCUCCUCGCCUUCGCCAUGGCCGCCUUCCUACUCCGAUCCAUCUCGCAGAACGGAGAUGAUGAGCAGCAGCUGCUGGUGGUGGUGGUGACACCUGACACGGCAAUGCGGCGGCGGUCGAGGGAUUAAACCGGCCUAAAACGUAUCCAUUCCGCGGCAUACAAGGGCAGGCCAGGCAUCUGAUUUCCUACCUACAUUACUACUACUAGUCUACUACUGCUACUACUACAUAUUAUCAUUUCCUAGCUAGCUAUUAGUUCACUUCUCGAUCGUUUUGGUGUUAGCUUAAGCUUUCUUGAUUUCUUUUGCUGCCUUAGCUUUUUCUUUUUUUUCCUUUGCGGCGACAUUGUUGCAGAGGGCGCUGUGAAAUGUGAAUAACCUCUCGCGUUUUGGAUGAUGAGUCGUCGCUCGCGUUGGUCGAUUGAUCUCUGUAUCGUUUUUCCUGUGGUGAGAAUUGAGGUUGGUGAUCUGC
RNAcentral lists this small RNA (547 nucleotides) under Oryza sativa Japonica Group (Japanese rice). Its description in RNAcentral is "sRNA Os02g0719266". The record is from RNAcentral. Lineage: Eukaryota; Viridiplantae; Streptophyta; Magnoliopsida; Poales; Poaceae.